CGCCUCUUGCAAAAUUAACAAAUAAGAGGUCCCGCCUGCCCUGUGACUAUACGUUUAACGGCCGCGGUAUUUUGACCGUGCAAAGGUAGCGCAAUCACUUGUCUUUUAAAUGGAGACCCGUAUGAAUGGCACAACGAGGGCUUAACUGUCUCUUCUUUCAAGUCAAUGAAAUUGAUCUCCCCGUGCAGAAGCGGGGAUACGCACAUAAGACGAGAAGACCCUGUGGAGCUUUAGGCACCAAGGCAGAAUAUGUUAAAUACCCCAGACUAAUGAUUAAAACAAGUUAUGACCUGCCCUAAUGCCUUCGGUUGGGGCGACCGCGGGGAAAUGAAAAACCCCCAUGUGGAAUGGGAGCACAACUCCUACAACUAAGAGCCCCCGCUCUAAACAACAGAACCUCUGACUAAUAAGAUCCGGCAAUGCCGAUCAACGGACCAAGUUACCCCAGGGAUAACAGCGCAAUCCCCUUCUAGAGCCCAUAUCGACAAGGGGGUUUACGACCUCGAUGUUGGAUCAGGACAUCCUAAUGGUGCAGCCGCUAUUAAGGGUUCGUUUGUUCAACGAUUAAAGUCCU
Molecule: ribosomal RNA, 574 nt
Filed under: Apolemichthys kingi (tiger angelfish)
Lineage: Eukaryota; Metazoa; Chordata; Actinopteri; Pomacanthidae
Description: partial large subunit ribosomal RNA
Rfam family: Bacterial large subunit ribosomal RNA
Source: RNAcentral